RNAcentral lists this ribosomal RNA (90 nucleotides) under Lachnospiraceae bacterium. RNAcentral describes it as "partial 23S ribosomal RNA". It matches the Rfam family "Bacterial large subunit ribosomal RNA", at positions 2835 to 2925 of the family's 2925-position model. The record is from RNAcentral. Lineage: Bacteria; Bacillati; Bacillota; Clostridia; Lachnospirales; Lachnospiraceae.
CCCUUGAAGACUACAAGGUAGAUAGGAGUGAGGUGUAAGCAUGGUAACAUGUUCAGCUGACACUUACUAAUCGGUCGAGGGCUUUUCCAG